Long non-coding RNA from Malaclemys terrapin pileata, 836 nucleotides. RefSeq lists it as uncharacterized. Lineage: Eukaryota; Metazoa; Chordata; Testudines; Emydidae. The transcript is spliced from 3 exons. The record is from RefSeq and is a predicted model, not a curated record.
CAGAGAACGAAACAACACAAGCUGAAGCAGCAGACAUUCCAGCACCGUCACCGGCAGCAAGAAGGAACUGAGGGUGGGGGGAGCUGGCGGUGCCCCUUAUACUGUGCCAUGCAAGCGCCACUCCAGAGGGCACCCAGAGCCGUUCCCCUACAGGUACUGCUGAGGUAAAAACUUCCAGCACCGGUGCAUGUGGCGAGCACACACAGCUAAUAUGGAAUGGACAUGAGCAAGCACUCGAAGAAGAAAAACUCAUCUCUACAGGAGACAACGAAACCAAGCAAUCUGAUGUCUGUGAUGGGUCCUGGCCAGUAAAAGCUGGAAAGGAGACUGAGGCCCUUCAGAAUUUUGCCUGUCUUAUCUGCAUCCUGGGAUGAAUAUGCUGCAAUGUACUACCUGGAUGAUGUGCUGAAGUCUUUCUGUCCAGAUGUCAAUCUUUUUCGACACAUAAUUCUGAUCAUCCUGAUGGCCAAGAACAGCAGUGACAGCAUGUACAGUAAUGGGAGAGAAGAGAAGAAAAUAACUAACAUUCUUUCCCUCCCAUGAAGAACAUCUUGGGGGAUGUGUGUGAGUGAGGAAGGAAGGGGGCCCCUUUGUUGGCAUGAAUAUAACUCAAAAAGCCAACUGCAGGCAAGAUCAUUUACAAAUGCUGCCAGUAAUGUCUCGUUUAUACAAAUACUUUAUAAUGAUCAGAUGAAGGAUACAUUACCAACCUCAGGAAAAGCAUAAUAAGGUCUCGUUUUCUUUUUCCACCCUCUCUCCUUCCCCCACAUAUUACCACAAUGUCACAAACUGUCUGAUUCCUGUAUUAAAAUACUCCUGGUGGGGUCUGAUACCUA